RNAcentral lists this ribosomal RNA (253 nucleotides) under uncultured prokaryote. RNAcentral's name for it is "partial 16S ribosomal RNA". It matches the Rfam family "Bacterial small subunit ribosomal RNA", at positions 525 to 777 of the family's 1533-position model. The record is from RNAcentral.
ACGUAGGGUGCAAGCGUUGUCCGGAUUUACUGGGCGUAAAGAGCGCGUAGGCGGUCUGUUAAGUGUAGAGUGAAAUCUCCGGGCUCACCCCGGAAACUGCUCUGCAUACUGGCAGACUUGAGGGAUGCAGAGGUUUGUGGAAUUCCUGGUGUAGCGGUGAAAUGCGUAGAUAUCGGGAGGAACAUCCGUGGCGAAGGCGGCUACCUGGACCAGCACUGACACUGAGGCACGAAAGCGUGGGGAGCAAACAGGA